UACGAAGGGGGCGAGCGUUGCUCGGAAUCACUGGGCGUAAAGCGCACGUAGGCGGCUUUUUAAGUCAGGGGUGAAAUCCUGGAGCUCAACUCCAGAACUGCCUUUGAUACUGAGAAGCUUGAGUCCGGGAGAGGUGAGUGGAACUGCGAGUGUAGAGGUGAAAUUCGUAGAUAUUCGCAAGAACACCAGUGGCGAAGGCGGCUCACUGGCCCGGUACUGACGCUGAGGCACGAAAGCGUGGGGAGCAAACAGG
This 253-nucleotide ribosomal RNA is filed under the name uncultured bacterium. Its description in RNAcentral is "partial 16S ribosomal RNA". It matches the Rfam family "Bacterial small subunit ribosomal RNA", at positions 524 to 776 of the family's 1533-position model. The record is from RNAcentral.